This 630-nucleotide ribosomal RNA is filed under the name Bacillus pumilus. Its description in RNAcentral is "bacterial SSU rRNA". It matches the Rfam family "Bacterial small subunit ribosomal RNA", at positions 40 to 653 of the family's 1533-position model. Lineage: Bacteria; Bacillati; Bacillota; Bacilli; Caryophanales; Bacillaceae. The record is from RNAcentral.
CGGGGGUGCUAAUACAUGCAAGUCGAGCGGACAGAAGGGAGCUUGCUCCCGGAUGUUAGCGGCGGACGGGUGAGUAACACGUGGGUAACCUGCCUGUAAGACUGGGAUAACUCCGGGAAACCGGAGCUAAUACCGGAUAGUUCCUUGAACCGCAUGGUUCAAGGAUGAAAGACGGUUUCGGCUGUCACUUACAGAUGGACCCGCGGCGCAUUAGCUAGUUGGUGAGGUAACGGCUCACCAAGGCGACGAUGCGUAGCCGACCUGAGAGGGUGAUCGGCCACACUGGGACUGAGACACGGCCCAGACUCCUACGGGAGGCAGCAGUAGGGAAUCUUCCGCAAUGGACGAAAGUCUGACGGAGCAACGCCGCGUGAGUGAUGAAGGUUUUCGGAUCGUAAAGCUCUGUUGUUAGGGAAGAACAAGUGCAAGAGUAACUGCUUGCACCUUGACGGUACCUAACCAGAAAGCCACGGCUAACUACGUGCCAGCAGCCGCGGUAAUACGUAGGUGGCAAGCGUUGUCCGGAAUUAUUGGGCGUAAAGGGCUCGCAGGCGGUUUCUUAAGUCUGAUGUGAAAGCCCCCGGCUCAACCGGGGAGGGUCAUUGGAAACUGGGAAACUUGAGUGCAGAA